AAGGAGUCGAGGUUUUGCGCGAGUGUUUGGGUAUAAAACCCGCACGCGUAAUGAAAGUGAACGUAGGUGAGAGCUUCGGCGCAUCAUCGACCGAUCCUGAUGUAUUCGGAUGGAUUUGAGUAAGAGCGUAUAGCCUCGGACCCGAAAGAUGGUGAACUAUGCCUGGAGAGGGUGAAGCCAGAGGAAACUCUGGUGGAGGCUCGGAGCGGUACGGACGGGCAAAGAGAUCGACAGAUUUGGGUAUAGGGGAGAAAGACGAAACGAACCAUCUAGUAGCUGGU
This 281-nucleotide unclassified non-coding RNA is filed under the name uncultured fungus. RNAcentral's name for it is "partial contains 5.8S rRNA, ITS2 and 28S rRNA". It matches the Rfam family "Eukaryotic large subunit ribosomal RNA", at positions 668 to 955 of the family's 3401-position model. The record is from RNAcentral. Lineage: Eukaryota; Fungi.